Molecule: long non-coding RNA, 1008 nt
Filed under: Homo sapiens (human)
Lineage: Eukaryota; Metazoa; Chordata; Mammalia; Primates; Hominidae
Description: HSALNT0218676
Source: RNAcentral
AAGUAUGCUUGCUUCAGAUUCAAAUUUCUGGGCUCUACCUCAGACUUACCUAAUCAGAGUCAAACCGAGGGAAUCUGAACUUUUUUUUUUUUUUUUUUUUUUUGACAGGGUUUCACUCUGUUGCCCAGCCUGGAGUGCAGUGGUGUGAUCACAGCUCACUGCAGCCUCUGCCUCCUGGGCUCAAGCCAUCCUCCCACCUCAGCCUCCUGAGUAGCUGGGACCGUAGGCGUGCACCACCAUGCCGGGUAUCAUCUUCCUGGAUCUGGCCACACUGCUGCUGAAUCAAUGUGGGGAACUGUGGACCUGUUGGUGCAAUGAAUUUGAGAAGCUUCUGUGCUGCAGAGCUCCAAGGCUGGUCCUGGUAGACUGGUGCUACCCCAAGGAUGUCCCAUCUUGAAUGCACGUAUAUUCUGGAGCAAGACUUCUAAGGAAGCUACAGAAAACAGUGAGCCUGAGAGAAUCACAGAGUCAAUGAACAAAUGUUUAAACAGUCACUUAAUGGCUACUAAACUGAUAGAAACUAACAACCAGUUGUCUACAGUGUUUCCUAAUUUGGGCUGAUCAGAUUCAUCUGUGAAACUUAAAAAAUACAAAAAUAUUAAAGGAAGGAAUUCUUAUGGUGACCAAAGUAUAAAAGUUCAUAAACAUAAAAAGUUCGUCUCCUCUCUCCCACCCCCAAAUAUCUUGAUCCCUAAAUGUAACUAUCAAAAAAACAAAGUUCCUUGGGAAAUUUGCUGUUAAUAAACAAAGCAGAUAGACAGAUACAUAUAGAUAAAAUGAUAUCAUGCUCUUCAUAUUAUUCUGCAACUUGUUUUUCACUUGAGCAAUCAGAAUAUACAGAUCUAUUUUUAUCUGGUGGUCUGAAUUGAAGGACGCUCACAUGGCUUUGACUGUCUUUUCCUGCUGGAGAUGUGUGGGUGAGACAAAGGCAUAGAAGCCACUGGUCCUCUAACUUUACCUGGAGGGCAUGUUCAAGUGAGAUUACUACUCACAUCCUCCCCAUUCCGC